This 450-nucleotide ribosomal RNA is filed under the name uncultured bacterium. RNAcentral describes it as "partial 16S ribosomal RNA". It matches the Rfam family "Bacterial small subunit ribosomal RNA", at positions 28 to 506 of the family's 1533-position model. The record is from RNAcentral.
GAUGAACGCUGGCGGCGUGCCUAACACAUGCAAGUCGAGCGGCAGCGAGGGGUGCUUGCACCCUGUCGGCGAGCGGCGGACGGCUGAGUAACGCGUGGGAACGUGCCCCAAAGUGAGGAAUAACUGCCCGAAAGGGUAGCUAAUACCGCAUAUUAUCUUCGGAUCAAAGGAUUUAUCCGCUUUGGGAGCGGCUCGCGUCGGAUUAGGUAGUUGGUGAGGUAAUGGCUCACCAAGCCGACGAUCCGUAGCUGGUCUGAGAGGAUGACCAGCCAGACUGGAACUGGGACCCGGUCCAGACUCCCAGGGGAGGCGGGAGGGAGGAAUCUUCCAAAGUGGGCGAAAGCCUGAUGGGGAAACGCCGGGGGAAGGACGAAGGCCUUGGGGUUGUAAACUGUUUUUAAAAGGGGGGAAUAGGACGGAAAUUUUUAAAAAAGGAUCGGCUAACUACGG